RNAcentral lists this long non-coding RNA (225 nucleotides) under Oryctolagus cuniculus (rabbit). RNAcentral's name for it is "lncRNA (ENSOCUG00000033954.1)". The record is from RNAcentral. Lineage: Eukaryota; Metazoa; Chordata; Mammalia; Lagomorpha; Leporidae.
UGUGCAUUCUUGAAGACCCUUCAGACAACGAGAAGGCAGCUGUCUGAAAACUGGAAGGAGGGUCCUCAGCAGAACCUGACUGCUGGCAUCCUGAUGGUAGACUUCCAGCCUCCAGAACUGUGUGAUAAAAUAUAAAGAACUGACUCUGGAGGCACUGGAGGGGGAAGGGGACACAGACCGCACAAGGCUCCCAGACAGUAGGCAAUGGAAAAUAAUGCAGCUAAG